This is a long non-coding RNA of Malurus melanocephalus (red-backed fairy wren), 1712 nucleotides long. RefSeq lists it as uncharacterized. The transcript is spliced from 4 exons. NCBI's taxonomy places the organism in Eukaryota, Metazoa, Chordata, Aves, Passeriformes, Maluridae. The record is from RefSeq and is a predicted model, not a curated record.
UGGCUGUAAACAUGGAAAGUGAAAAGGUCAGAAUUGAGGCAUGUAUUCUCAACUAAUUCUGUAGAGCACUCUGAGAGUUUGUAAACAUUUUUCUCACACAAAGAUUUAAUCACACCUCUAUUUUCUUUGCAGAGUUUCMUCCAAUACAGAGAUGUGCUGCUGACUACAGAUGCUGGGGAGAGUCAUUACACUUUAUGAAAAAGGCUUCUUAAAUAGAAGCACAACCAACUCUUCACGGUUCUUGGCCCUUGUACCAACAGAAACAAGCAAGCAACUACUGAAUCAGGCAGAGGAACUGGCCAGAAGAAAUCUGGAUGUCCGGGAACUCCUGUCAGCUUCUCCACUUCAAACGACACCCUCCUACUUAAUCAACAGACCCCAAGCAAAGUGUCACAAUCCUGCUGGAUUAUGCAGCUUAACAGCACUCUUGGGGAUGGGCUGCCUGGCACAACUGAGUUUGCAACAGUUUGGAAGCCACUUGUGCAGAUGCAAUCAUAUCGGUUCUUUCUUUUCCACGUGCAAUGCUUGAUACYUUCCUUUCUGCCACCUGCUGUAAAUAGUUCUGCUGACGUUUCCAGUGCUGGGGUUUAUUACCACAACUCUCCUAUUUACCUAAAAUAAAAAUGAGGCAAUGAUCUCAUAGGAGGAAAACAAAAGGGUCACAUUUCCUCUAGAGUAAGUAAGUAGGUCAGUGCCUUGAGACGUGAUGGGAGAGGAUCCCAUGAUGCCCACGGGGUGAGUAGGAAGGCUGGACAGGCAGUGGUGCUGCCUGAGGGAGAGCUCAGGUGGACCUCGGCACUGGCCCUCCUGCUGGCAGGCAGCAAAGAUGUGUGUGAAAGCAUUUCACUGUGCAACCAGUCAGAGCAUCACUUCCACCAACACUGCAAGUCCAACAAGACCCUGAUCUCUGCCAGCCUCAUGCUCAGGAGGAAGCCUGUGGGGCAGGAGRGCUGUUGCCUCACUCCCAGCUCUGGACAGGGAGUCAAGAGACCAGGCUGCCUUGCUUUGUGAGCAUCUGGACAUUGCGUACCCUUGCUCCUUCCUCAUUUGUAUAAUAGGGUUAAURAACAUGCUCUAUCCCACAGUGCUGACGUAACGCUAAGCUCUUUCAUGUUUGUUAAAUGCUACAAUAGCCAGCACCAUAGAAACUCAUAAAUAAAGUACCUUGAAGUUCUGUCAAGGUAUUAACCUUGUUUUAAAAGUGCAGAUUUACAUGAGUURCUGCACACAAGAAGCUUCUCCUAAUUAGGAUCAAAACUUAAUUUUUUUAGCUUUGUUUUUGUGGCCUUUAAGGAUGAACAUUUUUUACUUGCCCAGCUUAUUUGGCAAUUUAUUGUAAUCUCUUCAAACUUGCAGCUCUUUUCAGGACAUAGUUAAAUGCCUUUCUUCUCAUUGUUKCAUUCCUUUGCAUUCUUCACAAUUAAAUAUCUUUAGGGGUUUUAAACAAAUGUAUAGUUGGUUUCUCCAAAGUCUAAAUCCAUCUAUGUUAUCAUACUUCGUUGUUGGUGUGAGUGACACUGGGUUUGGCUCAAAACCUUGAYGGAAAAGAAAGGACCUGUGUGCUGCUUCUGAUAGAACAGAGGCCCUUUUUUCCAUUUCACACCUUGCCUCAAGAUUUGUCCAAGAUUUGUCCACAACUGAUAAAGUACCAAAGUAGCAAGGAGAGUGUCUGCACAAGAUGUACAGAGAAAAUUAUUCUGCCCUAAUGAUCU